UACGGGGGGGGCAAGCGUUGUUCGGAAUUACUGGGCGUAAAGGGCUCGUAGGCGGCCAACUAAGUCAGACGUGAAAUCCCUCGGCUUAACCGGGGAACUGCGUCUGAUACUGGAUGGCUUGAGAUUGGGAGAGGGAUGCGGAAUUCCAGGUGUAGCGGUGAAAUGCGUAGAUAUCGGAAGGAACAUCAGUGGCGAAGGCGGCCACCUGGACAACAACUGACACUGAGGCACGAAAGCGUGGGGAGCAAACAGG
This 253-nucleotide ribosomal RNA is filed under the name uncultured bacterium. RNAcentral's name for it is "partial 16S ribosomal RNA". It matches the Rfam family "Bacterial small subunit ribosomal RNA", at positions 524 to 776 of the family's 1533-position model. The record is from RNAcentral.